ACUCCGUCUCAAAGAAAAAAAGAAAGAAAACGACACGAAUCGGGGUACAAGGUUGGGUUUCAGCCGAGCCAGUCUGAGCCCCUUUCCCGCGCCCUCUGGUGGGAGGUGUUCGCUUUUCUGCACACCCGUGUGAAGGAUUCACCGGCCCUCCUCGGGUGGCCGUUACUUUACAGGAGCAAAGCAAGGCUUUUGCACUUCUGACAAUUGAUGGCUGCACUUGGACUAGCCAGCCGGUCCCGCGUCCCCACCAGAAGCACAAGAGGACAGCUCCAACUCUCUAGGAUUUCAGCUCUGACCAGUCAGCACGCCCGGCUCACUGGCUUCCCCACACCCACCAAAGUGUUCUUAAAAACUCUGCUGCCUGAAUGCUCACGGAGAGUGAUUUGAGUAAUAAUGAAACUGUGGUCUCCCGCACAGUCGACUCUGCGUGAAUUACUCUUUCUCCAUUGCAAUUGCCCCAUCUUGAGAAGUCGGCUCUGUCCAGGCAGCGGCAAGGUGAACCCACGGGGCGGCCACACUGAUAUGAUUCCCCCUUUGCAAUUUUUACUCUCUUGGUGCUGCAAACAGUUCCUCACUGGGGACCCUUGUAUAUGUAUCACAUGAGCAUGAAUCAGAAUUUCUUUAGGAAACAUACAUACUAGUGGGUAUGUGCAUGUUAUUUAACUUCUCUGUAGCACUGUUUCCUCACUCAUCAAAUGGGGAUCAAGUAGUUCUCACCACACAGGGUUAUUGUAGAAAUAAUUUAGUAUACAUAAUAUAUAAUGCAAUAACAAGUACUGAUGUCUACUUUUUUUAG
Rhinopithecus roxellana (golden snub-nosed monkey) is the source of this 796-nucleotide long non-coding RNA. RefSeq lists it as uncharacterized. The record is from RefSeq and is a predicted model, not a curated record. The transcript has 3 exons. NCBI's taxonomy places the organism in Eukaryota, Metazoa, Chordata, Mammalia, Primates, Cercopithecidae.